RNAcentral lists this ribosomal RNA (497 nucleotides) under uncultured bacterium. RNAcentral describes it as "partial 16S ribosomal RNA". It matches the Rfam family "Bacterial small subunit ribosomal RNA", at positions 28 to 507 of the family's 1533-position model. The record is from RNAcentral.
GAUGAACGCUGGCGGCGUGCCUAAUACAUGCAAGUCGAGCGAACAGACGAGGAGCUUGCUCCUCUGACGUUAGCGGCGGACGGGUGAGUAACACGUGGAUAACCUACCUAUAAGACUGGGAUAACUUCGGGAAACCGGAGCUAAUACCGGAUAAUAUAUUGAACCGCAUGGUUCAAUAGUGAAAGACGGUUUUGCUGUCACUUAUAGAUGGAUCCGCGCCGCAUUAGCUAGUUGGUAAGGUAACGGCUUACCAAGGCAACGAUGCGUAGCCGACCUGAGAGGGUGAUCGGCCACACUGGAACUGAGACACGGUCCAGACUCCUACGGGAGGCAGCAGUAGGGAAUCUGCAGCAAUGGGCGAAAGCUUGACGGAGCAACGCCGCGUGAGUGAUGAAGGUCUUCGGAUCGUAAAACUCUGUUAUUAGGGAAGAACAAAUGUGUAAGUAACUAUGCACGUCUUGACGGUACCUAAUCAGAAAGCCACGGCUAACUACGUG